RNAcentral lists this unclassified non-coding RNA (166 nucleotides) under uncultured Sordariomycetes. Its description in RNAcentral is "sequence contains ITS1". Lineage: Eukaryota; Fungi; Ascomycota; Sordariomycetes. The record is from RNAcentral.
AAGAGUUGCAAAACUCCAAACCCACUGUGAACAUACCUGAAAGUUGCGUCGGCAGAUGGCUCCGGGAGGGCCUUUGCCUAUGCCCCCGAAAAGAGGGGUAUGGGUAUCUGCCGAAAUAAUUAUACUCUGUUAUACUUAUUGUUCUGAAAUACUAUUUAAUUAGUCA